RNAcentral lists this ribosomal RNA (468 nucleotides) under uncultured bacterium. Its description in RNAcentral is "partial 16S ribosomal RNA". It matches the Rfam family "Bacterial small subunit ribosomal RNA", at positions 28 to 507 of the family's 1533-position model. The record is from RNAcentral.
GACGAACGCUGGCGGCGUGCUUAACACAUGCAAGUCGAACGGAAAGGCCCUGCUUUUGUGGGGUGCUCGAGUGGCGAACGGGUGAGUAACACGUGAGUAACCUGCCCUUGACUUUGGGAUAACUUCAGGAAACUGGGGCUAAUACCGGAUAGGAGCUCCUGCUGCUUGGUGGGGGUUGGAAAGUUUCGGCGGUUGGGGAUGGACUCGCGGCUUAUCAGCUUGUUGGUGGGGUAGUGGCUUACCAAGGCUUUGACGGGUAGCCGGCCUGAGAGGGUGACCGGCCACAUUGGGACUGAGAUACGGCCCAGAAUGCUACGGGAGGAAGCAGGGGGGAAUAUUGCACAAUGGGCGGAAGCCUGAUGCAGAAACGCCGCGUGCGGGAUGACGGCCUUCGGGUUGUAAACCGAUUUCGACUGUGACGAAGCGUGAGUGACGGUAAUGGGUAAAGAAGCACCGGCUAACUACGUG